AUGCUCAUCCCAAACGUUGUCUGCAGGAUGAUGCCAACUGGGGAAGCGCUUCUGAUCAUUUGUUUUGGUCAAAAGUCAAAUGUUCAGCCCCAGCAGACUCGUCCAACUAAUAAUCAAUCAGCACGGCACGUCAUCGCAGUCUUUGACAGCGAUAUACAUCUGUGUCUGAGACAAGUAAACAAGAAUAAGCUGUACAUCCACUUGCCAGCGUCUUAUCUUUGUAUCCUACGCCAGUGGAGAUUUCGCAGCUGUGAUGCGGCCACCGUGUCAACAACCAAGCAAUUUACUAAUAACAAUAACAAAAAGAAAAUAUGUUAUUGGCUGAAAUCUAGCUGA
RNAcentral lists this ribosomal RNA (336 nucleotides) under Triticum aestivum (bread wheat). RNAcentral's name for it is "partial small subunit ribosomal RNA". Lineage: Eukaryota; Viridiplantae; Streptophyta; Magnoliopsida; Poales; Poaceae. The record is from RNAcentral.